GACGAACGCUGGCGGCGUGCUUAACACAUGCAAGUCGAACGCUGAAGCUCAGCUUUUGUUGGGUGGAUGAGUGGCGAACGGGUGAGUAACACGUGAGUAACCUGCCCCCUUCUUUGGGAUAACGCCCGGAAACGGGUGCUAAUACUGGAUAUUCACUGGUCUUCGCAUGGGGGUUGGUGGAAAGGGUUUUUCUGGUGGGGGAUGGGCGCGCGGCCUAUCAGCGUGUUGGUGGGGUGAUGGCCUACCCAGGCGUUGACGGGUAGCCGGCCUGAGAGGGUGAACGGUCACAGUGGGACUGAGAUACGGCCCAGAGGAGGACGGGAGGCAGAAGUGGGGAAUAUUGCACAAUGGGCGCAAGCGUGAUGCAGCGUCGGCGCGUGAGGGAUGGAGGUCUUCGGGUUGUGAACCUCGUUCGCUCAUGGUGAAGCCGCAACAAUGGUUGUGGUGAGGGUAGUGGGUAAAGAAGCGCCGGCUAACUACGUG
RNAcentral lists this ribosomal RNA (483 nucleotides) under uncultured bacterium. RNAcentral describes it as "partial 16S ribosomal RNA". It matches the Rfam family "Bacterial small subunit ribosomal RNA", at positions 28 to 507 of the family's 1533-position model. The record is from RNAcentral.